RNAcentral lists this unclassified non-coding RNA (1798 nucleotides) under uncultured fungus. RNAcentral's name for it is "sequence contains 18S rRNA gene, ITS1, 5.8S rRNA gene, ITS2, 28S rRNA gene". The stretch from base 661 to 1798 matches the Rfam family "Eukaryotic large subunit ribosomal RNA", at positions 1 to 961 of the family's 3401-position model. The record is from RNAcentral. Lineage: Eukaryota; Fungi.
GGAAGGAUCAUUACCACGUAUCCACGUACCCACCCUUCGUGCAUGGAAAUCUCCCUGAACAUUAUGUUUGGGCUACUUUUUCUAUCAUACAAACUUAUUUCACAAUUUGACAACUUCUAAAUUUUGCAAGUUGGCUUACAUUUGGAAAUAUGAAUUUCAUUAUUCAUUUUUCUAUUUUCUUAUUUUAAUCGAUAGGAAUAUCAUGUAAAUAACAACUCUUAGCAAUGGAUAUCUUGGCUCUCGCAACGAUGAAGAACGCAGCGAAAUGCGAUACGUAAUGCGAAUUGCAGAAUUCAGUGAAUCAUCAAAUCUUUGAACGCAAAUUGCGCUCUUGGGUAGGCCCGAGAGCACGCCUCUCUCAGUAUCGGUUUAAACUCCUCUCAGCAGCAUUGCUGGAAAAUGAGAGUCUGAUAAAAUUUUAUUAGUCUCUUGAAAAUGAAUGGAACUCUCAUACAAAAAUCCUCUCUUCUAUAUUUUUAUAGAUCAGACAUGAGUGACGUGAAUAAAAGGGCCUUUGUGCUCCUUUUUUACGUCUUAUCUUAUGUUUGUAUUAAUAUAAUCAUUUAUGAGUAUAGGAUUUGAGAGUUGUGAAUGAGAGUGUGUCAAAUAAAAGAAUUCAAAUAAUUUUAUUUCACCUUUCAAUUAACAUAUUCAAUACUUUGAUCUGAGAUGAAGUGAGAUUACCCCCUGAAUUUAAGCAUAUUAAUAAGGGGAGGAAAAGAAACUAACAAGGAUUCCCCUAGUAACGGCGAGUGAAGCGGGAAGAGCUCAAUGUGAAAAUCGGUCACCUAAGCGGGUGCUCGAAUUGUAGCCUAGAGACGUGUUGUCAGCGUGUGACCCAGGUAUAAGUCUUUUGGAAUAAGGCAUCAUAGAGGGUGAGAAUCCCGUUUUUCUGUGACUUGGAGUUCGCCGCGUACGACGCAUGUUCCUCGAGUCGAGUUGUUUGGGAUUGCAGCUCUAAAUGGGUGGUAAGUUUCAUCUAAAGCUAAAUAUUGGCGAGAGACCGAUAGCGAACAAGUACCGUGAGGGAAAGAUGAAAAGAACUUUGAAAAGAGAGUUAAACAGUACUUGAAAUUGCUAAGAGGGAAGCGCUGGAAACCAGUCAUAUAAUAAGAGUCAUUUUUCUAUUGGUCUCUGCUAUAUGAUUUAUAUCAUGGGUUAACCUGAUAUAGAUUAUAUGAAAGGAAGUUCAUUAGUUUCGUGAUUUUAUUAGGUCAGAAUCGAUUCAUAAUAUGGGAGAGGGUUGUAGAGAAGGUAGGGUGGUAUAGCAAUAUAUCACCUGUUAUAGCUCUAUGAUUGUACCAUAUCAUGGAUCGAGGAAGUAGUUAUGGUACGCUGCUUAGUGGCGUAGUAUCUUAUUCCUGCUGUGCUUCGAUGUGUUAUCGCAAUGCGAUGUUAUAUCAAAGGUAUAGUACUGGGUGAGAAUACUGUCUGUACCAUCACGAUUCUGACGAAAUGGUUUUCAUCGACCCGUCUUGAAACACGGACCAAGGAGUCUAACAUAUAUGCAAGUAUUUGGGUGGUAAACCCUGGUGCGUAAUGAAAGUAAAGGUAAUUUUCGGAUUACUGAGGUAGGAAUCUCUGUAAUGGAGAGGCACUAUCAACCGAUCCUCACUUGUGAAAGAUUUGAGUUAUAGCAUAUCUGUUGGGACCCGAAAGAUGGUGAUCUAUGCCUGAACAGGGUGAAGCCAGGGGAAACUCUGGUGGAGGCUCGUAGCGAUACUGACGUGCAAAUCGUUCGUCUGAUUUGGGUAUAGGGGCGAAAGACUAAUCGAACCAUCUAGUAGCUGGUUCCCUC